Otolemur garnettii (small-eared galago) is the source of this 284-nucleotide non-coding RNA. NCBI's taxonomy places the organism in Eukaryota, Metazoa, Chordata, Mammalia, Primates, Galagidae. The record is from Rfam.
GCCAGGCGUUGUGGCGGGUGCCUGUGGUCCCAGCUACUUGGGAGGCUGAGGCAGGAGACUCGCUUGAGCCCAGGAUUUGGAGGUUGCUGUGAGCUGUGAUGCCACAGCACUCUACCCAGGGUGACAGCUUGAGGCUGUGUUUCAAAAAAAAAAAAAUUAUUUCCCACUUCUUUCUCUUUUUUUUUUGAGACAGAGCCUCAAGCUAUCCCCCUAGGUGGAGUGCUAUGGCAUCACAGCUCACAGCAACCUCCAACUCCUGGGCUCAAGCGAGUCUCCUGCCUCUG